UCGCUGAGUGAAGAGGCUCUGAGACUAGAGUUUGAGAACAUCUGCCUAAGGAAGAGCUUACGAAUUCCAAAACCAUGGCAGGAAUGGCGAUCCUUAGAGAAGAUGGAUUCAUUUCAGGGACAUGUUAACUGUAAAAAGAUCAACUCUUCCUCUCUGAACCAACAGCCUGUGUCUACUCCCAAGUGCAAGUGUCCUGAGAGAGGUAUGGCUGCAUGCCUGCCAGGGAGUUUCCUUCCUUUACUUCAUAGCACUGUUUGUUCACAACAUUUUCUUCCUUAUUGACUUGAACACAAGGACACCACCUACCUCAUGUCUUCCUUCUUCCCGUGGAUGUCCAGAUGAAGCACUCCACACUCCUUUGAGAGAGAUAAACAAGGAAGAUGUGUGCUUAGUCCAGAGGUUUCAUCAAGAAAUGAAAGCAGAGACAAUAAAGUUUUGGUCUUGGUUCUCCUGUUGGCUUCAGAAUGAACAUAAUUAAGAUGAUUAACGAUCAACUCAGGCCUGAAAAAUGAGUAACUGUAGGUCAUGUUGCCAUGAAGUUACGAAGAAAAAGAACUCUUCAGAGGUGUAUACAUGUUCCUGGCCACUCUGCUUCUUAGGGUGGAGUUAGAGGACUCCCCGCCCUCCUUGCCUGCGAAGGAGGAGGCGUGGCCACACAGAUAAAGCUGGUCUGAAAAGAGCAUGGCUUUAUUUGUUCUGGGGCCAGGAACCUGUGGAUUGGAUGAUUCUGCGUUGUGGCAGCAUUGUCAACUGAUGGACCCACCAGUUCCUGAAUCCUGCUGACUAAUGGAUCAUUGUCAACUUGCUGGAGCUUUGAGGAAGGGCUUCAGAAGCUGAUGGCAUAGUUAUGAGAGGGGUGAAGACUGCGACUGCAUUUCCAACAGACCCUGAGGACAAUUGGGAAGAAUGCGCUGAAUAUUUUUGAGCAAUUUCUAUAUGAUAAGCAGUUUUUAGGGCAAGUAUAGGUUGCACUGAUCCUGACCUUUUGGCCUGAGGAUGGAAGUCUUCAGUAUCUGUACAACUUUACUCCCAAGAGCUGGUGUAGAAUGAGUUCCUCUGGCCAUGGGAGGAUCGCAGAGGGGCACCUGCCACCAGCAGCCCAGCCUCAGCACUUUUCUCUUCAGCGUCUUCUUCAAGGUAUUUCCAGUUGCCCGCCCUGAACUGUUUCAGAAUGAGGAGGACACCUGGAGGAAUCUACACGUGCAUAGACCAAUUUGCAAAAGAACCUGUGAGCCAACAUUAUUACCUCAGCUGGAAGAAUUAAUAAGCAACACGUUCACCCAAGAAGUAUUUACUGAGCACCUACUAUGUGCAUUAUUUUCUGGUGUUGGGGCUAGGGGGCAAACGACUCUGACAAGUCUCUGUUCUCAAGGCUGGAGUGCAGCGGCGCGAUCUCGGCUCACUGCAAGCUCCGCCUCCCGGGUUCACGCCAUUCUCCUGCCUCAGCCUCCCGAGUAGCUGGGACUACAGGCGCCCGCAACCACGCCCGGCUAAUUUUUUGUAUUUUUAGUAGAGAUGGGGUUUCACCAUGUUAGUCAGGAUGGUCUCGAUUUCCUGACCUUGUGAUCCGCCCGCCCCCGCCUCCCAAAGUGCUGGGAUUACAGGCGUGAGCCACCGCGCCCGGCCGUAGUUUACAUUUUCUAAAGCGUACUCUGCCAGCCAAGUGGCAAACAGACUUGGGCCUCUUAAGAGUGGAAGCAGGAGGAAACCCGAAGAUCCUGGAGAGAGACUGGUGGCUGGUACCAGUGGAGAGGGAGCAAAAAGGAAAAUACAGGAUACAAUUUCAGGAAAAAUUUCAUACCAAUUUCCUGAGGUAAUUUCUGAACUCGAACAUUUUCAGUGUCACCACAUUGUGUUUCCUGCUGAAUCAAGUCUACAUCACUUCGGUUUUUAAAGCCUUCCACGAUCCUUCCCUGAACACUGUAGUUUUCACUGAUGGUUGGCUGUUUCAAACUCCCAUAUGAUCCAUACUGUAUCAUUAAUAAGCAAGCAAGGAAUAACACACCCUCUGCUAUUCUGUGCAGUGUUUCAGGUUUUUAGUUUUCUCUUUCAAGAUAGAAAAUCCCUUUAGAGUAGGAACUCGGCUGGCACUUUCUUUCACAUCCUGCAUAGCACUUAGCAAAGUUCUGUACACAGGGCACAUGUGGAAAUUGCUUAUUGAUUGAUUAAAAGCAUAUAUCACUGGCAUUUGUAUCUUCAGUAUUUCUCUUGUAUGAAGAAGGGUGAUUAUCUGUCAAUAUUCAUUGCAUCAUUGAACCAAUGUACAAUGCAUUAAUCAUCACUGAAGAUAACCAGAUGAGGCUUUAUUGUAAUCUCCUUCUAUUUUGCUGAGAUAAUUUCACUUGCUUUAGAGUUUAUGAGGCCAUAAGUGGCUCCCAUCUGUUGAUGAACAUAUUUCUAAGAGUCAUUUAGUCUCAAGUAUGGAAUACUUGAGGGGAAGUUAAAUUGUAACUUUUAUAUUAAGUGUCAUCUUAGUAACAGAACCAAAAUUGGAAGCAUGUGUUCAAUUUUGGUUUUUCAUUUUCAAAGCUUUAGGUCAGGCAAAGAAUUAAUUUCAUUUGUUUACAAAGUAGAUUAUGCCUAAUAAAAUCUAUUUUGUUUAUGGUCACAUUUUAAUCAAUCCACUGCUUUAGAAAAUGAGAGAAUUCUGAUUGGCUAAUCAUUCAACAUAGUAAAUUACAUUAUUCCACAUCCACAGAACACUGGCCUAAUUGCAUUAUCCAGUAAUGAUAAAAAUAUUCCUUUUAAUACAUUUUGAGCAAGGCAUAUACCAGUGAUGAAACAGGGAAGAAUCUUGUUUAUUCCAUCCUUGUUUGAUGAUCGACCACAGAAUAUAACAUAACACUUCUGUGUAUAAGAAUUUUUUCAACAUUAAGGAUAAUAAGGACAAGGUAGUUUUCACUGGAUCCUUACUGGUACUCUGAAUUUUCACUAUUUGUCCGCAUUUCUUCUCCUUCCCGGAAAUUUGUUUUCUGCGAAAAACAAGUGCUACUUUGUCAAAUAAAGCUUAAAUAAAAUUGGUUUCAAUUUAUGCAUAAUAAAAGGAAUGCCUAGUGACUUUCUAUCUCUAGUGGGAGGUAGAAAACUCUCCAGGGUGACUUUAUUCACUCCAGAGGUUCUGGUGAGCACCAAGGAACAUUACCUCUGCAAAAUGCAGACAUACGCAAAAGGAUGCAUCAAAUUUAAGAGAAGUCCGUAGAUAGAUAUCUGAGGGAUCUGCCUUAGGGGAUGUAGACCAUAUAUACAACACGAAUUCCACAGAAUUAGCCUGGUAUUCACGAUCACUGUUUCUUAAAACAUAACUCUUUUAUGUUACCAAGCAACUUUUAUCUGAGAUGAUGACUACUCGAAUACUUCUUUUGCAUAUCGCCAGAAAAUAUCAAGUUUUCAUUUGAGUCCUUAAUUCAAGUUCUUUAUCACAAGAAGAAAGAAUAGCAUGGAUAAAAUGGUUUAAAGGUAGCCAAAAAAAAAACAAAACAUUGUAUUUUAGAAUGCAUAUUCAAACAUAUUCCAAAAAAUACUGUAUUUUAGAAUGCAUAUUCAAACAUGAUGACAAGUGGGCUCUGUGGCUCAUAUUGACAAUAGCUUUAACCUAUGAAGUGAGUGUCUUUCUAUACGGAGGUGAUGAGUUACUCAAUACUGAACGGCUCUACUAAAUUGUGCUUUUGGCUAUUAGAACUUGGCUACUGCCUUUCGUUGCUAUGUGUUGAGAGAAAAAUCUCAAAUGAUGAUGCUAACCAUUUUGCUAAUAAAAUAUGCUAAGCUG
Molecule: long non-coding RNA, 3766 nt
Filed under: Homo sapiens (human)
Lineage: Eukaryota; Metazoa; Chordata; Mammalia; Primates; Hominidae
Description: PREDICTED lncRNA (TCONS_00124012)
Source: RNAcentral